RNAcentral lists this ribosomal RNA (253 nucleotides) under uncultured bacterium. Its description in RNAcentral is "partial 16S ribosomal RNA". It matches the Rfam family "Bacterial small subunit ribosomal RNA", at positions 524 to 776 of the family's 1533-position model. The record is from RNAcentral.
UACGAAGGGGGCUAGCGUUGUUCGGAAUUACUGGGCGUAAAGCGCGCGUAGGCGGUGAUCUAUGUCAGAGGUGAAAUCCCGGGGCUCAACUCCGGAAUUGCCUUUGAAACGGGAUCGCUAGAGUCCGAGAGAGGAUGGCGGAAUUCCUAGUGUAGAGGUGAAAUUCGUAGAUAUUAGGAAGAACACCGGUGGCGAAGGCGGCCAUCUGGCUCGGUACUGACGCUCAGGCGCGAAAGCGUGGGGAGCAAACAGG